CACCACUGUUUGUUUUUGUGGGUUUUGCAAAACCUGUAUCAAUAGUUCUUAAACUUUAUUUUUGCAAAAAAAAAUCCAUAAAUCGCAUUUAAGACUGCGAAAAUGGGCCUUUGCUGUUUCCCGUGACUUGUUGACCUUGAAUUCACGCCAAAUCUUUGACUUUUCUAGUGUAUUAUUUUGAGGCGAGAACUCAAGCUUGUCGGGCGUAACCAUGCGACGAGUUUUAAGAUUAUCGCCUUCAAAUUUUCGGGAUCUGAUAGAUAAUUAUGCCAUGUCAUAAAGUGUGUAAGGAAUUUUCAAAUGAAAAUCGCUUUUAUAGCACUUUUCGUGAUCAAAUUUCGCCAGAAAUGAGAUUUUCAACUUUGAUUCGUGAUAUUUUGUUUACAUUGUCAAAAAAAAGCCCCCACACACUUUGAUAGAUCAUCUAUCUGUCAUUGAGAUGCAAUUACGUGCAAGUGCAUGCGCAAUAACACGAAGGUGCAUUACGCUCUAGAGUAAACUCCGUACUUUUGAGUUUGAGGCCUCAAAACUUAAACACGGAAUUAGCUAUUGCAAAAAUAAAACUUGCAUGAGAUAAUUCAAUCUUUUAUCUUUUAGUUGAUAUAUAGUUUGUAAAUGUAGUGAAAACACACGGACAGGUCGUUUACCUUUACCGAGACCUUAAGGAAUCAAAAGACAAGGCCCUUGCCAAGUCAUGGAUAAUAAAAUGGUAAUUUGAGACAAAAGCUUGGUUUUGGUGCAUUUAUUUUAACACACUUUAGAGUAAAAUGGUAUGUAGAGUAUGGACCAAACCAAUAAAUUUCUUGGCUUUAUGUGGUUUUAUUUAUACAUAGGGUAUUUUGUCUUAGACAAGUGUAAACAAAGGUACUACUGUGAUAUUGGAAUAACUGCUUGAGGUAAUUCAAUGCCCAUCUGAUUGAUUCCCUGGGGACAACCAGUCGACCCAGAUACCAUUGAUGGAAAGGGACCCUCCAGCUCUUGGGUGAUUUUGCUUACAGACAUUUAAAGAACUGAUUCCUGCUCUUGGCAAACGAAGUUCAGUCAAGAAAUUCAUGGAGACAUUGGAGACAAUGCUACUCGUAGCAAAGUGCGGAUAAAUUCCGAAGCUUAAAUUAUAAGAGCAAGAAUGUGUUGGAGCUAAUCCAGCAAGCAUGCAUGCAAGAAAUAAACAAAGAAUUUGGUGCACAGCCAGCAGUAGUAAAGGGGAAGUGGAAAUGGCUUACCAGUGGCGUUUCGUGUGUUGACAACAUGAUAUAUCGUGAAAGCUGAACUGAUAACGAACGGACUUUGAAGCGAAAACUUGCAUUCAGAUAGCUAUUUAUCGAAUGUGGCUCGAUUUAUAAUUGGCAAAAAAGGCAGGAAUGACGUUAAAUCAUAGUCUUAACCUUCAAAGAAUUCAACUACGGCCGCCAUGUUUUUUUUGACAUGGUUUGGAAAACCGCUGACAAUUCGCGGGCUUUUUCGCUAAAACAUUUGAUUUGAUUGGCCAAGAGUUGUGAUAAUAGAAGAGUUAUUAUUGGCUAUAGGUUACACUUGAGUCGACGAUUAGCUAUUAGCGAGUGACAACCCCGCUAACCGCAAAAAGUCCUGAAUAACUUCGCUAUCCACUUAAUAAGGGCAUUUUUCCCCCCCUCCCCUCUGGAAAUUCCUGGGCGUUUGAAUUUACAAUGGGGGGGGGGGGCAUGGAUAUUUCCUGGAACUACACAUUACAAAGUAAAUUCAACUACGGCCGCCAUGUUUUUUUUUACAUGGUUUGGAAAACCGCUGACAAUUCGGGGGCAUGGAUAUUUCCUGGAACUACACAUUACAAAGUAAAAGGGAAAAUAGAAAGAAGCACAUUGUGGCCACUCCCUAGCGGUAUGAGAGAGGUGGACAUCGGCGCGCUAGGAUGGUAGUUAUUCUGCUAUAUAUCAAACACACGCUAUAACAAGGACGUGCCUUCGGUUAGUCGUCAUUCCCAGACCUCGUUCAGUGCAGAGCUCCCUUACAAGAAGCAAAAGACAGGGGCUACAGGAGAUGAGAUUGAUAGAGAUUUGAAAGGCUUUAAAAUAAAUAAAAAAAUCAGUUUUUCUUA
This is a long non-coding RNA of Nematostella vectensis (starlet sea anemone), 2074 nucleotides long. RefSeq lists it as uncharacterized. The transcript is spliced from 2 exons. The record is from RefSeq and is a predicted model, not a curated record. NCBI's taxonomy places the organism in Eukaryota, Metazoa, Cnidaria, Anthozoa, Actiniaria, Edwardsiidae.